RNAcentral lists this ribosomal RNA (440 nucleotides) under uncultured bacterium. RNAcentral's name for it is "partial 16S ribosomal RNA". It matches the Rfam family "Bacterial small subunit ribosomal RNA", at positions 338 to 795 of the family's 1533-position model. The record is from RNAcentral.
CCUACGGGAGGCAGCAGUAGGGAAUAUUGCUCAAUGGGGGAAACCCUGAAGCAGCAACGCCGCGUGGAGGAUGAAGGUUUUCGGAGUGUAAACUCCUUUUGUUAGAGAAGAUAAUGACGGUAUCUAACGAAUAAGCACCGGCUAACGCCGUGCCAGCAGCCGCGGUAAUACGGAGGGUGCAAGCGUUACUCGGAAUCACUGGGCGUAAAGAGCGCGUAGGGGGGAUAGCAAGUCAGAUGUGAAAUCCUAUGGCUUAACCAUAGAACUGCAUUUGAAACUGUUAUUCUAGAGUAUGGGAGAGGUAGGUGGAAUUCUUGGUGUAGGGGUAAAAUCCGUAGAGAUCAAGAGGAAUACUCAUUGCGAAGGCGACCUGCUAGAAUAUAACUGACGCUGAUGCGCGAAAGCGUGGGGAGCAAACAGGAUUAGAUACCCUUGUAGUC